Molecule: transfer RNA, 63 nt
Filed under: marine eukaryotic metagenome
Rfam family: tRNA
About the family: Transfer RNA (tRNA) molecules are approximately 80 nucleotides in length. Their secondary structure includes four short double-helical elements and three loops (D, anti-codon, and T loops).
Source: RNAcentral
UCGUUAGCUCAGCUGGUAGAGCAACGGACUCUUAAUCCGAAGGUCGGGAGUUCGAUCCUCCCA